Molecule: ribosomal RNA, 258 nt
Filed under: uncultured bacterium
Lineage: Bacteria
Description: partial 16S ribosomal RNA
Rfam family: Bacterial small subunit ribosomal RNA
Source: RNAcentral
UACGGGGGGGGGGCAAGCGUUGUUCGGAAUUACUGGGCGUAAAGGGCCAGUAGGCGGCCAACUAAGUCCGACGUGAAAUCCCCAGGCUUAACCUGGGAACUGCGUCGGAUACUGGAUGGCUUGAAUUCGGGGAGAGGGAUGCAGAAUUCCUGGUGUAGCGGUGAAAUGCGCAGAUAUCAGGAGGAACACCAAAUGGCGAAGGCAGCUCGCUGGGGACGUGACUGACGCUGAGACGCGAAAGCGUGGGGAGCAAACAGG